UUUAAAAAUAAACUUAGGUGUUUUGGAUAAUUGUCAGCUUUGGCAGCUUUACCUAUGCUAAAAUAUACAAUGACCGAGGAAGCCUAGUGACAAGUCUAUAGCAACCAGUUUACUUGUUGAAUUUGUUAUCACCCAGUGUGCUUUGUUGAGUGGUUUCAAUGUAUUGUUUUAUUUAAUGUGA
Long non-coding RNA from Etheostoma cragini (Arkansas darter), 181 nucleotides. RefSeq lists it as uncharacterized. NCBI's taxonomy places the organism in Eukaryota, Metazoa, Chordata, Actinopteri, Perciformes, Percidae. The transcript has 3 exons. The record is from RefSeq and is a predicted model, not a curated record.